Molecule: ribosomal RNA, 460 nt
Filed under: uncultured bacterium
Lineage: Bacteria
Description: partial 16S ribosomal RNA
Rfam family: Bacterial small subunit ribosomal RNA
Source: RNAcentral
CCUACGGGGGGCUGCAGUGAGGAAUAUUGGUCAAUGGCCGGAAGGCUGAACCAGCCAUGCCGCGUGAAGGUCAGUGCCCUAUGGGCGUUAAACUUCUUUUGUGCGGGAGCAAUAAUGGUCACGUGUGGCCAGACGAGAGUACCGUACGAAUAAGCAUCGGCUAACUCCGUGCCAGCAGCCGCGGUAAUACGGGGGAUGCAAGCGUUAUCCGGAUUUAUUGGGUUUAAAGGGUGCGUAGGGUGGGAGGUAAGUCAGCGGUGAAAUGCCCCCGCUCAACGGGGUGAAGUGCCAUUGAUACUGCCUUGCUGGAAUGCGGAUGACGUGGGAGGAAUGUGGGGUGUAGCGGUGAAAUGCAUAGAUAUCACACAGAACACCGAUUGCGAAGGCAGCUCACGAAUCCGCGAUUGACGCUGAUGCACGAAAGCGUGGGUAUCAAACAGGAUUAGAUACCCCAGUAGUC